GCAGUAGCCGCGGUAAUACGUAAGGUGCGAGCGUUAAUCGGAAUUACUGGGCGUAAAGCGUGCGCAGGCGGUUUUGUAAGACAGGCGUGAAAUCCCCGGGCUCAACCUGGGAAAUGGCGCUUGUGACUGCAAAGCUAGAGUGCGGCAGAGGGGGAUGGAAUUCCGCGUGUAGCAGUGAAAUGCGUAGAUAUGCGGAGGAACACCGAUGGCGAAGGCAAUCCCCUGGGCCUGCACUGACGCUCAUGCACGAAAGCGUGGGGAGCAAACAGGAUUAGAUACCCCCGUAGUCCCUGUCUCUUAUA
This 302-nucleotide ribosomal RNA is filed under the name uncultured bacterium. RNAcentral's name for it is "partial 16S ribosomal RNA". It matches the Rfam family "Bacterial small subunit ribosomal RNA", at positions 508 to 808 of the family's 1533-position model. The record is from RNAcentral.